Molecule: ribosomal RNA, 497 nt
Filed under: Escherichia coli
Lineage: Bacteria; Pseudomonadati; Pseudomonadota; Gammaproteobacteria; Enterobacterales; Enterobacteriaceae
Description: partial 23S ribosomal RNA
Rfam family: Bacterial large subunit ribosomal RNA
Source: RNAcentral
UAAGUUGCAGGGUAUAGACCCGAAACCCGGUGAUCUAGCCAUGGGCAGGUUGAAGGUUGGGUAACACUAACUGGAGGACCGAACCGACUAAUGUUGAAAAAUUAGCGGAUGACUUGUGGCUGGGGGUGAAAGGCCAAUCAAACCGGGAGAUAGCUGGUUCUCCCCGAAAGCUAUUUAGGUAGCGCCUCGUGAAUUCAUCUCCGGGGGUAGAGCACUGUUUCGGCAAGGGGGUCAUCCCGACUUACCAACCCGAUGCAAACUGCGAAUACCGGAGAAUGUUAUCACGGGAGACACACGGCGGGUGCUAACGUCCGUCGUGAAGAGGGAAACAACCCAGACCGCCAGCUAAGGUCCCAAAGUCAUGGUUAAGUGGGAAACGAUGUGGGAAGGCCCAGACAGCCAGGAUGUUGGCUUAGAAGCAGCCAUCAUUUAAAGAAAGCGUAAUAGCUCACUGGUCGAGUCGGCCUGCGCGGAAGAUGUAACGGGGCUAAACCAUG